UGUGAGUCAUUGUAGCAAUACAAGGCAGACGGCUCAGUAACACGUAGCCAAUCUAACCUAUGGACGGGGAUAACCUCGGGAAACUGAGGAUAACCCCCGAUAGAUCAUUAUGCCUGGAACGGUUUAUGGUCCAAAUGAUUCGUCGCCGUAGGAUGAGACUGCGGCCUAUCAGCUUGUUGGUGAGGUAAUGGCCCACCAAGGCUAUUACAGGUACGGGCUCUGAGAGGAGAAGCCCGGAGAUGGGUACUGAGACACGGACCCAGGCCCUAUGGGGCGCAGCAGGCGAGAAACCUUUGCAAUGUGCGCAAGCACGACAAGGUUAAUCCGAGUGAUUCCUGCUAAAGGAAUCUUUUGUUAGUCUUAAAAUCACUAUUGAAUAAGGGGUGGGCAAGUUCUGGUGUCAGCCGCCGCGGUAAAACCAGCACCUCAAGUGGUCAGGAGGAUUAUUGGGCCUAAAGCAUCCGUAGCCUGCUCUAUAAGUUUCCGGUUAAAUCCAUUAGCUCAACUAAUGGCCUGCCGGAAAUACUGCAGAGCUAGGAAGUGGGAGAGGUAGACGGUACUCGGUAGGAAGGGGUAAAAUCCUUUGAUCUAUUGAUGACCACCUGUGGCGAAGGCGGUCUACCAGAACACGUUCGACGGUGAGGGAUGAAAGCUGGGGGAGCAAACCGGAUUAGAUACCCGGGUAGUCCCAGCUGUAAACGAUGCAGACUCGGUGAUGCACUGGCUUGUGGCCAGUGCA
RNAcentral lists this ribosomal RNA (739 nucleotides) under uncultured archaeon. Its description in RNAcentral is "bacterial SSU rRNA". It matches the Rfam family "Archaeal small subunit ribosomal RNA", at positions 52 to 797 of the family's 1478-position model. The record is from RNAcentral.